AAGCCAUGGUGAGGGCAGCUUCUCUACAAAUCCUUAAAUCUUUCCCACGCCUCAUACAAUGGUUCAUUCUCAAAUUGCUGAAAGGUAGURAUGUCUUUGAUGAUCUU
RNAcentral lists this small nucleolar RNA (107 nucleotides) under Nelumbo nucifera (sacred lotus). RNAcentral describes it as "Plant small nucleolar RNA R71". It matches the Rfam family "Plant small nucleolar RNA R71". Rfam says of the family: R71 is a member of the C/D box family of snoRNAs containing the C (UGAUGA) and D (CUGA) box motifs. Multiple nearly identical copies of this snoRNA have been identified in Arabidopsis, and it is thought to function as a 2'-O-ribose methylation guide for 18S ribosomal RNA. Lineage: Eukaryota; Viridiplantae; Streptophyta; Magnoliopsida; Proteales; Nelumbonaceae. The record is from Rfam by way of RNAcentral.